ACGAACGCUGGCGGCGUGCUUAACACAUGCAAGUCGCACGGAAAGGCCCUGCUUGCAGGGUACUCGAGUGGCGAACGGGUGAGUAACACGUGGGUGAUCUGCCCUGCACUUCGGGAUAAGCUUGGGAAACUGGGUCUAAUACCGGAUAGGACCGCACUUUAGUGUGUGUGGUGGAAAGUUUUUUCGGUGUAGGAUGAGCUCGCGGCCUAUCAGCUUGUUGGUGGGGUAAUGGCCUACCAAGGCGGCGACGGGUAGCCGGCCUGAGAGGGUGUACGGCCACAUUGGGACUGAGAUACGGCCCAGACUCCUACGGGAGGCAGCAGUGGGGAAUAUUGCACAAUGGGCGCAAGCCUGAUGCAGCGACGCCGCGUGGGGGAUGAAGGCCUUCGGGUUGUAAACUCCUUUCGCUAGGGACGAAGCUUUGUUGUGACGGUACCUAGAUAAGAAGCACCGGCUAACUACGUG
RNAcentral lists this ribosomal RNA (465 nucleotides) under uncultured bacterium. Its description in RNAcentral is "partial 16S ribosomal RNA". It matches the Rfam family "Bacterial small subunit ribosomal RNA", at positions 29 to 507 of the family's 1533-position model. The record is from RNAcentral.